Molecule: ribosomal RNA, 1523 nt
Filed under: Escherichia coli 1-110-08_S4_C3
Lineage: Bacteria; Pseudomonadati; Pseudomonadota; Gammaproteobacteria; Enterobacterales; Enterobacteriaceae
Description: bacterial SSU rRNA
Rfam family: Bacterial small subunit ribosomal RNA
Source: RNAcentral
GAGUUUGAUCAUGGCUCAGAUUGAACGCUGGCGGCAGGCCUAACACAUGCAAGUCGAACGGUAACAGGAAGCAGCUUGCUGCUUCGCUGACGAGUGGCGGACGGGUGAGUAAUGUCUGGGAAGCUGCCUGAUGGAGGGGGAUAACUACUGGAAACGGUAGCUAAUACCGCAUAAUGUCGCAAGACCAAAGAGGGGGACCUUCGGGCCUCUUGCCAUCGGAUGUGCCCAGAUGGGAUUAGCUUGUUGGUGGGGUAACGGCUCACCUAGGCGACGAUCCCUAGCUGGUCUGAGAGGAUGACCAGCCACACUGGAACUGAGACACGGUCCAGACUCCUACGGGAGGCAGCAGUGGGGAAUAUUGCACAAUGGGCGCAAGCCUGAUGCAGCCAUGCCGCGUGUAUGAAGAAGGCCUUCGGGUUGUAAAGUACUUUCAGCGGGGAGGAAGGGAGUAAAGUUAAUACCUUUGCUCAUUGACGUUACCCGCAGAAGAAGCACCGGCUAACUCCGUGCCAGCAGCCGCGGUAAUACGGAGGGUGCAAGCGUUAAUCGGAAUUACUGGGCGUAAAGCGCACGCAGGCGGUUUGUUAAGUCAGAUGUGAAAUCCCCGGGCUCAACCUGGGAACUGCAUCUGAUACUGGCAAGCUUGAGUCUCGUAGAGGGGGGUAGAAUUCCAGGUGUAGCGGUGAAAUGCGUAGAGAUCUGGAGGAAUACCGGUGGCGAAGGCGGCCCCCUGGACGAAGACUGACGCUCAGGUGCGAAAGCGUGGGGAGCAAACAGGAUUAGAUACCCUGGUAGUCCACGCCGUAAACGAUGUCGACUUGGAGGUUGUGCCCUUGAGGCGUGGCUUCCGGAGCUAACGCGUUAAGUCGACCGCCUGGGGAGUACGGCCGCAAGGUUAAAACUCAAAUGAAUUGACGGGGGCCCGCACAAGCGGUGGAGCAUGUGGUUUAAUUCGAUGCAACGCGAAGAACCUUACCUGGUCUUGACAUCCACGGAAGUUUUCAGAGAUGAGAAUGUGCCUUCGGGAACCGUGAGACAGGUGCUGCAUGGCUGUCGUCAGCUCGUGUUGUGAAAUGUUGGGUUAAGUCCCGCAACGAGCGCAACCCUUAUCCUUUGUUGCCAGCGGUCCGGCCGGGAACUCAAAGGAGACUGCCAGUGAUAAACUGGAGGAAGGUGGGGAUGACGUCAAGUCAUCAUGGCCCUUACGACCAGGGCUACACACGUGCUACAAUGGCGCAUACAAAGAGAAGCGACCUCGCGAGAGCAAGCGGACCUCAUAAAGUGCGUCGUAGUCCGGAUUGGAGUCUGCAACUCGACUCCAUGAAGUCGGAAUCGCUAGUAAUCGUGGAUCAGAAUGCCACGGUGAAUACGUUCCCGGGCCUUGUACACACCGCCCGUCACACCAUGGGAGUGGGUUGCAAAAGAAGUAGGUAGCUUAACCUUCGGGAGGGCGCUUACCACUUUGUGAUUCAUGACUGGGGUGAAGUCGUAACAAGGUAACCGUAGGGGAACCUGCGGUUGGA